UUCAUACCAAUUUGUAAGUCGCUCUGGAUAAGAGCAUCUGCUAAAUGACGUAAA
Non-coding RNA from Salmo salar (Atlantic salmon), 54 nucleotides. The record is from Rfam. NCBI's taxonomy places the organism in Eukaryota, Metazoa, Chordata, Actinopteri, Salmoniformes, Salmonidae.